UACGUAGGGUGCGAGCGUUAAUCGGAAUUACUGGGCGUAAAGCGUGCGUAGGCGGUUCGUUAAGUCAGCUGUGAAAGCCCCGGGCUCAACCUGGGAAUUGCGGUUGAAACUGGCGAACUAGAAUCUGGCAGAGGGGGGUGGAAUUCCACGUGUAGCAGUGAAAUGCGUAGAGAUGUGGAGGAACACCGAUGGCGAAGGCAGCCCCCUGGGCUGAGAUUGACGCUCAGGCACGAAAGCGUGGGAGCAAACAGG
This 252-nucleotide ribosomal RNA is filed under the name uncultured bacterium. RNAcentral describes it as "partial 16S ribosomal RNA". It matches the Rfam family "Bacterial small subunit ribosomal RNA", at positions 524 to 776 of the family's 1533-position model. The record is from RNAcentral.